GCAUGUGGCCCUACGCGUUUCGACCUAAAAAGGUCUUCAUCAGGGGCACAAAAAUAAUAAAAAAGAGUUAUACAAACAUCUUGGUUAAAUACCUUGUGUAAUGUAAAGCAUAUCAUUAGGGAACAAGCACGCAUCAGCGCGUGUGAUGUCACUUCCACUCUCCACAAUGAUCAAAUGGAUCUAUAAGACUCCAUCACACACACCCCCCUGGGGAUAUUCUUUCCCCCGAAAUGCGCUACAAAUUCUCUGCGCUAUAUAUUCUCUGGAAUUUUCUGUUCAAGAUGAUGGACCAAAGGGGCGAUAUAUAUAGUUUUUCUUAGUGUGGACAUUACAUAUAUGACGUUUUUCAUGCUUUCUAUAUUCAUGCAAUGUUUGAUCAUAGCCCAGUAGCUCCAAUUAGACGGAUACUUCUGCAUUGUGGAAACGCAUUUGCGUUCCAGAUUAUAUCCCAUAAUGCUAUUUGAUGUCUAAACUUUUCUUUGGAACCGAAGUGAUGUCAUAUAUGUUGGAGCAAUCGUGAUGUGUUCACUAAUGGACAGGACACAUCAGUAGAUUUCCAUUCAAGCGCAUUAGCAAUUUAGUAUUAAAGCCUUACAUCUACUUAGAUAUCUUUCCCCCUGGUGAUGGCCUUGUAGCGUUUAAGGAACAAUCACUUCCGGUUAUUGGAACGCAUUUGCGUUCCGGAAGUGUUCCCACAAGUGUUGAUCAUUGUGGAAAGUGGAAGUGACGUCACACGCGCUGAUGCGUGCUUGUUCCCUUAUGAUAUGCUUUACAUUACACAAGGUAUUUAACCAAGAUGUUUGUAUAUCUUUCUGCCUUUUUUAUUAUUUUUGUGCCCCUGAUGAAGACCUUUUUAAGUCGAAACGCAUAGGGCCACAUGCUGUUGCCAUGUGGUGUAACUAGCAUGUAAUAAAUUUUCUUUUUUUUUUA
Long non-coding RNA from Xenopus laevis (African clawed frog), 930 nucleotides. RefSeq lists it as uncharacterized. NCBI's taxonomy places the organism in Eukaryota, Metazoa, Chordata, Amphibia, Anura, Pipidae. The transcript is spliced from 2 exons. The record is from RefSeq and is a predicted model, not a curated record.